GUGCAGCAGUCGAGAAUUUUCUCAAUGGGGGCAACCCUGAAGGGGCGACGCCGCGUGGAGGAUGAAGGCUUUCGGGUUGUAAACUCCUGUCAUUUGAGAACAAGUGGCCGAACCUAACUACUUCGGCCUUGAUAGUAUCAGAAGAGGAAGGGACGGCUAACUCUGUGCCAGCAGCCGCGGUAAUACAGAGGUCCCAAGCGUUGUUCGGAUUCAUUGGGCGUAAAGGGUGCGUAGGUGGCGCCGUCAGUGGGGUGUGAAAUUUCGGAGCUUAACUCCGAAACUGCAUUCCAUACUGCGGUGCUUGAGGACUGGAGAGGAGACUGGAAUUUACGGUGUAGCAGUGAAAUGCGUAGAGAUCGUAAGGAAGACCAGUGGCGAAGGCGGGUCUCUGGACAGUUCCUGACACUGAGGCACGAAGGCCAGGGGAGCAAACGGGAUUAGAUACCCGCGUAG
Molecule: ribosomal RNA, 453 nt
Filed under: uncultured organism
Description: bacterial SSU rRNA
Rfam family: Bacterial small subunit ribosomal RNA
Source: RNAcentral